UGGUUGGUUCCUUUCAUUGGUA
Molecule: non-coding RNA, 22 nt
Filed under: Arabidopsis thaliana (thale cress)
Lineage: Eukaryota; Viridiplantae; Streptophyta; Magnoliopsida; Brassicales; Brassicaceae
Source: RNAcentral